AGAAAAGCAGAACACAUGUUCUGCAGCUGAACUUCACAGAGAUGCUGGUUUAAUGAAACAGUGGUAGCCACCUCUUCUAUAACCCCGCAGUAGCAACAAAAUAGAGGCACCAAGGGGAGAAAAAGCCAGAAGAACCCAGAGAGGGUAGAGGAAAUGUCUUCCUCCCCUACAUAUAGCACUGCACACAUACCAAAAACCACUGAAUUUUUCAGCUAAAUGGAUGAAUAUUAUGGAUAGAAAUCUAGACUGUCUAAGGGCAGAUCAGUGAGCUGCAUCUUGGUGAAUGAUCCCUGCAAACCACAAAGUUCUUCCUCUGCUGAGCCAAGUUCUGAGGCAGAAGAUUCAGCGUGCCUUCAGAAUUUCAGAGGCAACCAAGCUAAAAAUAUCAUCUCUCAGAAAUCCUUGCAGACACGGUUCCAGAUGUGACUGAGCUUGGGUAAGUCAUAGGAGACAUUGAUUUGGAAAUAAAUUGGAAGAGAGGCAGAACAUGAGAUCCCAAGUUUCUUGGCAUGGAUGGCAGCAGAAGUGGCAUUCUCCUCAAGGCUGACGUUGUCUUGGUGGCUUCCAGACUGUGGCAGAGUAAGCCUCUCUCUUGGCAACUCAGUUCUGUGGCGUGAUUUUUGGAGUCAUUUUGGAGGCUUAGAGUGUUUCUUUAGCUCCUUC
Molecule: long non-coding RNA, 663 nt
Filed under: Equus caballus (horse)
Lineage: Eukaryota; Metazoa; Chordata; Mammalia; Perissodactyla; Equidae
Description: lncRNA (ENSECAG00000059145.1)
Source: RNAcentral